CAAACCUCUGGUGUAUCUGUUGUGCCGCCAGGCGCACCGCAGAGUAGCUAAGUUUGGUAAGGAUAAGCACUGAAGGCAUAUAAGUGCGAAACCUGCCUCAAGAUGAGACAUCUUUUAAGGGUCGUGGGAGAUGACCACGUUGAUAGGCUACAGGUGUAAAGUUGGUAACAGCAUAGCCGAGUAGUACUAAUUACCCGUAGAUUUAUAGCCU
Molecule: ribosomal RNA, 211 nt
Filed under: Microbacterium sp. ZXX196
Lineage: Bacteria; Bacillati; Actinomycetota; Actinomycetes; Micrococcales; Microbacteriaceae
Description: partial 23S ribosomal RNA
Rfam family: Bacterial large subunit ribosomal RNA
Source: RNAcentral